UACAGAGGGGGCAAGCGUUGUUCGGAAUUACUGGGCGUAAAGGGCGCGUAGGCGGCCUUCUAAGUCGAACGUGAAAUCCCCGGGCUCGACCCGGGAACUGCGUCCGAUACUGGAUGGCUUGAGGUUGGGAGAGGGAUGCGGAAUUCCAGGUGUAGCGGUGAAAUGCGUAGAUAUCUGGAGGAACACCGGUGGCGAAGGCGGCAUCCUGGACCGAUUCUGACGCUGAGGAGCGAAAGCCAGGGGAGCAAACGGG
This 253-nucleotide ribosomal RNA is filed under the name uncultured prokaryote. RNAcentral's name for it is "partial 16S ribosomal RNA". It matches the Rfam family "Bacterial small subunit ribosomal RNA", at positions 524 to 776 of the family's 1533-position model. The record is from RNAcentral.